AACGAACGCUGGCGGCAUGCCUAACACAUGCCAGUCGAACGAGACCUUCGGGUCUAGUGGCGCACGGGUGCGUAACGCGUGGGAACCUGCCCUUAGGUUCGGAAUAACUCCCCGAAAGGGGUGCUAAUACCGGAUAAUGUCUUCGGACCAAAGAUUUAUCGCCUUUGGGUGGGCCCGCGUUGGAUUAGCUUGUUGGUAGGGUAAAAGCCUACCAAGGCGACGAUCCAUAGCUGGUCUGAGAGGAUGAUCAGCCACACUGGGACUGAGACACGGCCCAGACUCCUACGGGAGGCAGCAGUGGGGAAUAUUGGACAAUGGGCGAAAGCCUGAUCCAGCAAUGCCGCGUGAGUGAUGAAGGCCUUAGGGUUGUAAAGCUCUUUUACCCGGGAUGAUAAUGACAGUACCGGGAGAAUAAGCUCCGGCUAACUCCGUG
This 433-nucleotide ribosomal RNA is filed under the name uncultured bacterium. RNAcentral describes it as "partial 16S ribosomal RNA". It matches the Rfam family "Bacterial small subunit ribosomal RNA", at positions 29 to 507 of the family's 1533-position model. The record is from RNAcentral.